UUGCUUUGACAACUGAGACUGUAAACUUAAUAAGUGAGUGAUCUGAAACCACCGAUGCAAGAGACACAAUGUCAGUAUUUGAGACAGUAAUACCACAAACAAGAACCAAAUCCAGGGUAUUUCCACUAAUGUGAGUCAAACCCUGAAUGCAUUGCUCGAAUCCUAAUACAUCUAUAAUGUCCAUGAUUUGCAGAUGGG
Molecule: long non-coding RNA, 198 nt
Organism: Thalassophryne amazonica
Lineage: Eukaryota; Metazoa; Chordata; Actinopteri; Batrachoidiformes; Batrachoididae
Exons: 3
Source: RefSeq, a predicted model, not a curated record